UAAGGAAUAUUGGACAAUGCCCGCAAGGGUGAUCCAGCCAUGCCGCGUGCGGGAAGAAGGCCUUCGGGUUGUAAACCGCUUUUGUCAGGGGAGAAAUCUUCUGGGUUAAUACCUCGGGAGGAUGACGGUACCUGAAGAAUAAGCACCGGCUAACUACGUGCCAGCAGCCGCGGUAAUACGUAGGGUGCAAGCGUUAAUCGGAAUUACUGGGCGUAAAGCGUGCGCAGGCGGUUAUGCAAGACAGAUGUGAAAUCCCCGGGCUCAACCUGGGAACUGCAUUUGUGACUGCAUAGCUAGAGUGCGGCAGAGGGGGAUGGAAUUCCGCGUGUAGCAGUGAAAUGCGUAGAUAUGCGGAGGAACACCGAUGGCGAAGGCAAUCCCCUGGGCCUGCACUGACGCUCAUGCACGAAAGCGUGGGGAGCAAACAGGAUUAGAUACCCUGGUAGUCCACGCCCUAAACGAUGUCAACUGGUUGUUGGGAAGGUUCCUUCUCAGUAACGUAGCUAACGCGUGAAGUUGACCGCCUGGGGAGUACGGCUGCAAGGUUG
This 548-nucleotide ribosomal RNA is filed under the name uncultured bacterium. RNAcentral's name for it is "bacterial SSU rRNA". It matches the Rfam family "Bacterial small subunit ribosomal RNA", at positions 355 to 896 of the family's 1533-position model. The record is from RNAcentral.